AGUGGGGAAUAUUGGACAAUGGGCGCAAGCCUGAUCCAGCCAUGCCGCGUGUGUGAAGAAGGCCUUCGGGUUGUAAAGCACUUUCAGUGGGGAAGAAAGCCUUGCGGUUAAUACCCGUGAGGAAGGACAUCACCCACAGAAGAAGCACCGGCUAACUCCGUGCCAGCAGCCGCGGUAAUACGGAGGGUGCGAGCGUUAAUCGGAAUUACUGGGCGUAAAGCGCGCGUAGGUGGCUUGAUAAGCCGGUUGUGAAAGCCCCGGGCUCAACCUGGGAACGGCAUCCGGAACUGUCAGGCUAGAGUGCAGGAGAGGAAGGUAGAAUUCCCGGUGUAGCGGUGAAAUGCGUAGAGAUCGGGAGGAAUACCAGUGGCGAAGGCGGCCUUCUGGACUGACACUGACACUGAGGUGCGAAAGCGUGGGUAGCAAACAGGAUUAGAUACCCUGGUAGUCCACGCCGUAAACGAUGUCGACUAGCCGUUGGGUCCUUCGCGGACUUUGUGGCGCAGUUAACGCGAUAAGUCGACCGCCUGGGGAGUACGGCCGCAAGGUUA
Molecule: ribosomal RNA, 551 nt
Filed under: uncultured bacterium
Lineage: Bacteria
Description: bacterial SSU rRNA
Rfam family: Bacterial small subunit ribosomal RNA
Source: RNAcentral